This is a long non-coding RNA of Vicia villosa (hairy vetch), 884 nucleotides long. RefSeq lists it as uncharacterized. The transcript has 2 exons. NCBI's taxonomy places the organism in Eukaryota, Viridiplantae, Streptophyta, Magnoliopsida, Fabales, Fabaceae. The record is from RefSeq and is a predicted model, not a curated record.
AAAAAGGUUCAUGACUGCGAAAACCUCCGCGACAACGAAAGUAGUGGUUAAUAUUUGGUUCCUUCUUUGAUUGUAUCUUCUCUGCAGUUUUCACAAAUAGGUCCUCAUGCUGCUCUUCAAUCCAUGCAGCUUCUCCGCCUUUGUCACAUGAAACCAAUAAAAAACCAGUAAGCAGUACAUCCAGAUUAAGAAGUACUUCAAUGGUACAUAUUCGGAGACGAUGCGUACUUCAAAGGAAAAACCAGUAAGCAGUACAUGCAACUUCUGCGUUGCGGAUCGUUGAUGCGUGUUGCUGAGUUCUUCGCAGGUUCGGAGAUGACAGUUUUUCUUAUGAUAUUUAUCAGGUACAUAUUCGCUUUCUCUUUCAAUUCUCUUUGUCUCUACUCUAUGCGAGAAAACCGUCCAUAUGAAUUGGAAUUGUUGUGUGCAGAAUCGUUGUUGUUGAGUUGUUGGUCGGUGUAUGGAUCUUUUCACAAAGUCACGGAAAGAUGAAUAAGUUCGUAUGAAGCUCUUUUGUUGCGAUUGUCGUGAACAGUGAUGUUGCAGAUACUUGGAAGUUUAAUGAAGGUGAUGGAAGGGAGUUGAAGUCUACAAGUUUCUAAACAAUGAAGGAAGAUGGUGAUAUGAAUGUUGGAGGAAGUUUUUUCUAUCAAGUUUUCGGCAUAGUUUCGGAGGAAGUAUUAAUAAAAACCAAAUGAAUAUUUGAUUGUUUUCAACAAGAGUAGGAAAAUAUGUCAUUAUCAUGUAACAGCAAAAUAUGACUAAGCUGUGUUAUGCUUUGGUGAAUAGGUCUACUUAACUAAGGUUAAUGUUUUGUCCUACUUAUGUAUAAACUCUAAGGUUGACCCUGUGAAUAUUAUGAAUGAUAACCACCAGCUGCACCA